RNAcentral lists this ribosomal RNA (253 nucleotides) under uncultured bacterium. RNAcentral describes it as "partial 16S ribosomal RNA". It matches the Rfam family "Bacterial small subunit ribosomal RNA", at positions 524 to 776 of the family's 1533-position model. The record is from RNAcentral.
UACGUAGGGGGCAAGCGUUGUCCGGAAUCAUUGGGCGUAAAGAGCGUGUAGGCGGCCCGAUAAGUCCGCUGUGAAAGUCCAGGGCUCAACCCUGGGAUGCCGGUGGAUACUGUCGGGCUCGAGUCCGGAAGAGGAGUGUGGAAUUCCUGGUGUAGCGGUGAAAUGCGCAGAUAUCAGGAGGAACACCAAUGGCGAAGGCAGCACUCUGGGACGUGACUGACGCUGAGACACGAAAGCGUGGGGAGCAAACAGG